UACGUAGGGGGCUAGCGUUUCCCGGAAUUAUUGGGCGUAAAGCGCGCGUAGGCGGCCCGGUAAGUCCGCUGUGAAAGCCCGGGGCUCAACCCCGGGAGGCCGGUGGAUACUGCCGGGCUAGAGUCCGGAAGAGGCGGGUGGAAUUCCCGGUGUAGCGGUGAAAUGCGCAGAUAUCGGGAGGAACACCGAUGGCGAAGGCAGCCCGCUGGGACGGUACUGACGCUGAGGCGCGAAAGCGUGGGGAGCGAACAGG
RNAcentral lists this ribosomal RNA (253 nucleotides) under uncultured bacterium. RNAcentral's name for it is "partial 16S ribosomal RNA". It matches the Rfam family "Bacterial small subunit ribosomal RNA", at positions 524 to 776 of the family's 1533-position model. The record is from RNAcentral.